RNAcentral lists this signal recognition particle RNA (97 nucleotides) under Thiotrichaceae bacterium. Its description in RNAcentral is "signal recognition particle sRNA small type". It matches the Rfam family "Bacterial small signal recognition particle RNA". From Rfam's summary of the family: The signal recognition particle (SRP) is a universally conserved ribonucleoprotein involved in the co-translational targeting of proteins to membranes. Archaeal SRP consists of a 7S RNA and homologues of the eukaryotic SRP19 and SRP54 proteins. Lineage: Bacteria; Pseudomonadati; Pseudomonadota; Gammaproteobacteria; Thiotrichales; Thiotrichaceae. The record is from RNAcentral.
UAUCGGUCCCCUCGCAACGGUAAACUGUGAACCCCGUCAGACCUGGAAGGGAGCAGCGGCAGCAGUCGACCCGUGUGCCGGGGUGUGGUGGGUAUGG